Molecule: ribosomal RNA, 228 nt
Filed under: uncultured bacterium
Lineage: Bacteria
Description: partial 16S ribosomal RNA
Rfam family: Bacterial small subunit ribosomal RNA
Source: RNAcentral
UGCGCAGGCGGACUAUUAAGUCAGUGGUGAAAUCUCUCGGCUCAACCGAGAAACUGCCAUUGAAACUGAUAGCCUUGAGUAUGGUUGUGGUAGGCGGAAUAUAGCAUGUAGCGGUGAAAUGCUUAGAUAUGCUAUAGAACACCGAUCGCGAAGGCAGCUUACCAAACCAUUACUGACGCUCAUGCACGAAAGCGUGGGGAGCAAACAGGAUUAGAUACCCUGGUAGUC